GAUGAACGCUAGCGACAGGCUUAACACAUGCAAGUCGAGGGGCAGCGUGGUGUGGCAACACACUGACGGCGACCGGCGCACGGGCGAGUAACGCGUAUGCAACUUGCCUAUCAGAGGGGGAUAACCCGUCGAAAGACGGACUAAUACCGCAUGAAACAGGGGUCCCGCAUGGGGAUAUUUGUUAAAGAUUAUAUCGCUGAUAGAUAGGCAUGCGUUCCAUUAGGUAGUUGGUGGGGCAACGGCCCACCAAGCCGACGAUGGAUAGGGGUUCUGAGAGGAACGGUCCCCCCACACUGGUACUGAGACACGGGACCAGACUCCGUACGGGAGCAGCAGUGAGGAAUAUUGGUCAAGUGGGCGUGAGCCUGAACCAGCCAAGUCGCGUGAGGGAUGGAAGGCCCUA
RNAcentral lists this ribosomal RNA (403 nucleotides) under uncultured bacterium. Its description in RNAcentral is "bacterial SSU rRNA". It matches the Rfam family "Bacterial small subunit ribosomal RNA", at positions 28 to 419 of the family's 1533-position model. The record is from RNAcentral.